UUUUGUGUUGUUUUAUAUUUACAUAUUUUAGAUCGAGUAAUUUUCCUCUAACAAUUUAUGUGGUGACCAGAACAGCAUUAAGGAGGUAGAAGCAAAUGUUUGAGAAUGGGCAGAAAUGUUGCCACAGUGUGUCUUACCAGAAAUCUUCUGGCAGAGAUGAAAUCCACAGCAGCAGUAUGACAGAAGAUACAUUAAAUCAGUCGGUGGACCCAUGAAGAGAGAAACUCCAUCUUUCUGCAGUAACAACAAAAAUUCAAAGCAGAAGCAGCUGUAAUGUGUAUGCUGUCAGGAUUUUAAGAACAACUAACCUGGUUUAAAGUAGUUUUUCUCAUGUUAAUAUGGGAAACAAUGCCACCUUCUCAAGCUGUUGAUGACACUCCGAAGUAUUCAUUGCU
RNAcentral lists this long non-coding RNA (395 nucleotides) under Athene cunicularia (burrowing owl). RNAcentral's name for it is "lncRNA (ENSACUG00000006837.1)". The record is from RNAcentral. Lineage: Eukaryota; Metazoa; Chordata; Aves; Strigiformes; Strigidae.